This 65-nucleotide transfer RNA is filed under the name Acanthochitona avicula. Its description in RNAcentral is "tRNA-Ile". The record is from RNAcentral. Lineage: Eukaryota; Metazoa; Mollusca; Polyplacophora; Chitonida; Acanthochitonidae.
GGCAUUACGCCGGCAGAACGGAUUACAUUGAUGUUGUAAAAUAUGAGAUAAAUUCUUUAAUGCCU